This 1292-nucleotide long non-coding RNA is filed under the name Ananas comosus (pineapple). Its description in RNAcentral is "long non-coding RNA (ACOM_LNC019882)". Lineage: Eukaryota; Viridiplantae; Streptophyta; Magnoliopsida; Poales; Bromeliaceae. The record is from RNAcentral.
UUAUGAAUUAAUUCUAUGAAUUAAUUUCCUGGGCUUUCCAAAGGCCCCCUCUAUCAUGAAUUAAUUCGACAAAUUAAUUUCACGGGUUUGCCAAAUAGGCCCUUUAUCACGGAUUAAUUCUAUGAAUUAAUUUUAUGAGCCCUCCUUGUCAUAGAUAAAUUUCAUGAAUUAAUGGGCCCUCCAAAUGGCUCCUUAUCACAAAUUAAUUCAAUGGGCUCUCCAAAUGACCCCUAUCAUGAAUUAAUUUCAUCAAUUAAUUCAAUGGACUUUACAAACGGGCUCCUAGCAUGAAUUAAUUUCAUGAAUCAGCUUCAUGAACAUCUCGAUUUCAAACGACCGAAAAUUCGUUAAACUAAACCCAAAUUUCAAACGACCGAAAAGUCGUUAAACUAAACCCAAAUUUCAAACGACCGAAAAGUCGUUAAACUAAACCCAAAUCCAAACGACCGAAAAGUCGUUAAACUAAACCCAAAUUUCUUGAACCAUGAACCAAGUCCAUACACCAAAUCUAUGAACCAUAUCCAAGUUUAUGAACCAAGUCCAUACACCAAACCCAUGAACCAUAUCCAAGUUCAUGAACCAAACCCAUACACCAAAUCCAUGAACCAUAUCCAAGUUCAUGAACCAAGUCCAUACACCAAAUUUAUGAACCAUAUCCAAGUUCAUGAACCAAGUCCAUACACCAAAUUCAUGAACCAUAUCCAAAUUCAUACUCAAAUCUCAUGAACCAAUACCCAAAUCUCAUCGUGAACCUUUUUUACUCUGUCACAUAUACCUAGAGUAAAAAUUAAAUAUCGACUACUCCUAAUACAUAUACUUAGGGCUAAAUCAAUCGCCUUACCACAUAUAACUAAGGCAAAAAUCUCCAAAUCGACAGAGUUUUAAGUCAUAUACUUAGAAUUCAGUCAAAUGAUAUCAAGUUUAUUCGAACUCUAACAUAUAUACUUAGAGUUCAUCCGACUAACCCUAACACAUAUAUUAGGGUCUAGUCAGCCUUUUGCUCUAGCACAUAUACCUAGAGUGGAAGUCAAACCAUGGUCGACUAACCCUAACCCAUAUACUUAGGGUCUAGUCAGUCUUUUGCUCUAGCACAUAUGCCUAGAGUGGAAGUCAAACCAUACUCGACUAACCCUAACACAUAUACUUAGGGUCUAGUCAGUCUUUUGCUCUAGCACAUAUACCUAGAGUGGAAGUCAAACCGUGCUCGACUAGUCCUAACCGAUAUACUUAGGGUCUAGUCAGCCUUUCGCUCUAGCACAUAUACCUAGAGUGAAAUCCUUAUCCGAUCGAGC